GCGCUGGUGGUGUAAGGCGUAGUAUCGCUGUCCGGAAAGCAGAAGUUGCGGGUUCGAGUCCCGCAUGGCGCA
Non-coding RNA from Heligmosomoides polygyrus, 72 nucleotides. Lineage: Eukaryota; Metazoa; Nematoda; Chromadorea; Rhabditida; Heligmosomidae. The record is from Rfam.